This 494-nucleotide ribosomal RNA is filed under the name uncultured bacterium. Its description in RNAcentral is "partial 16S ribosomal RNA". It matches the Rfam family "Bacterial small subunit ribosomal RNA", at positions 28 to 507 of the family's 1533-position model. The record is from RNAcentral.
GACGAACGCUGGCGGCGUGCUUAACACAUGCAAGUCGAACGGUGAAGCGCCUUCCUUUUUGGUGGGUGUGGAUGCGUGGCGAACGGGUGCGUAACACGUGCGUAACCUUCCCCCUUCUUCUGGAUCACCGCAUGAAAGUGUGUCUAAUACGGGAUCUUCUGGUUCUUUCGCAUGAUGGGUCUGUUACAGCUAUUGUUUCUGUGUGCGAUGGGCUCGCGGUCUAUCAUCUUGUUGGUGGUGUGCUGGCCUACCAAGGCGGUGACGGGUAGCUGGCCUGAGAGGGGGGACGGUCACGAGGGGGCUGAGACACAGACCAGAAUUGUGAGGGAGGCAGCAGUGGGGAAUAUUGCAGAAGGGGCGAAAGCCGGAUGCAGCGACGCCGCGUGAGGGAGGGAGGCCGUGGGGUGGUGAACCUCUUUCGCGAGUGAAGCAGGCCUGCCUUGUGUGUGGGUGGGUGGACGGUAGAUGGAUAAGAAGCGCCGGCUAACUACGUG